RNAcentral lists this ribosomal RNA (423 nucleotides) under Chryseobacterium sp. D1. RNAcentral describes it as "bacterial SSU rRNA". It matches the Rfam family "Bacterial small subunit ribosomal RNA", at positions 1026 to 1453 of the family's 1533-position model. The record is from RNAcentral. Lineage: Bacteria; Pseudomonadati; Bacteroidota; Flavobacteriia; Flavobacteriales; Weeksellaceae.
ACAGUUUCCAAGGUGCUGCAUGGUGUCGUCAAGCUCGUGCCGUGAGGUGUUAGGUUAAGUCCUGCAACGAGCGCAACCCCUGUCACUAGUUGCUAGCAUUAAGUUGAGGACUCUAGUGAGACUGCCUACGCAAGUAGAGAGGAAGGUGGGGAUGACGUCAAAUCAUCACGGCCCCUUACGUCUUGGGCCACACACGUAAUACAAUGGCCGGUACAGAGGGCAGCUACACAUGCGAUGUGAUGCAAAUCUCGAAAGCCGGUCUCAGUUCGGAUUGGAGUCUGCAACUCGACUCUAUGAAGCUGGAAUCGCUAGUAAUCGCGCAUCAGCCAUGGCGCGGUGAAUACGUUCCCGGGCCUUGUACACACCGCCCGUCAAGCCAGGAAGUCUGGGGUACCUGAAGUCGGGACCGUAAAAGGAGCUGCU